RNAcentral lists this ribosomal RNA (207 nucleotides) under Bychovskiata charadrii. RNAcentral describes it as "partial 16S ribosomal RNA". Lineage: Eukaryota; Metazoa; Arthropoda; Arachnida; Sarcoptiformes; Avenzoariidae. The record is from RNAcentral.
UAUGAAUGAAUUUUCUAGGAAUUUCUUUCUUUUUUUUUUUGAAUUUAUAAUUUUGUUGAGAAUAACAAUAUUAUUUCUAAGACUAAAAGACCCUAAAAUUUUUAUAAUAUUUUUAUUAUUUAGUUGGGGAAACGUUUUUUUUUAAAUCUUAUUAUUUUUUUGUUUUUUUGAACUUUUUUAUUGAUAAUUUGUUUAAAUACUCUAGGG